UUUGUUUUCCUUUAUUUUCAGUUUUCCUUUCUUUUCUAUGGGUGUCAUCUCCUUGUAAUUGAGAUUCGUAUCAUGUAUGGUAAUAAAAGAGGGCCCUGAUGAAUAGUAAAAAUAAAUCAACAUAAGCUAAUAAGAAAUUGAUCAAACUGCAAGUGUUGACUGCAUCUUGAAGAGAGUUUGAUUUCUGACAUAGAUUAAGUACAAAUCAGUUUUGACAAGAGUGGGUUGCUCUAGUGGUGAGCACCCUCCACUUCCAACCAAGAGGUUGUGAGUUCGAGCCACCCCAAGAGCAAGGUGGGGAGUUCUUGGAGGGAGGGAGCCGAGGGUUUAUCGGAAACAGCCUCUCUACCCCAGGGUAGGGGUAAGGUCUGCGUACACACCACCCUCCCAGACUCCACUAGUGGGAUUGCACGGGGUUGUUGUUGUUGUUGUUGUUGCAGUUCUUGAAUUUUCAUUAGAAGUCUAUGGGUUCAAAAGCUCUUUGAAGAUGUCCGGGGAUGGUGAACAACAACGUAAGAGACCACUCUCCCUAGAUUAUGUACUGAAACAAAUGAAUCUUGAAUAAUUUUAUGAGCUAAUCCAAAAAAUGCACCAUAACCUGGCCCAGAAAUCUUAAAAUCUUUACAAUUUUUUCCGAGGAAAAAUCCUAUCUUCAAAGCUAAUAUCAAUCAAACUCUCCUGAAUUCGUGGACUACUCUUACUAAAAUGCAGCUUCAAAUCUCCUGAUGCAGCUGAAGAAACAUCUUGUCACAGCUAGCUACGUUAAUGAUUCAAUGUUAAAGCUAGACGAAGACGCAAAAUGUGCUGG
RNAcentral lists this long non-coding RNA (808 nucleotides) under Nicotiana tabacum (common tobacco). RNAcentral's name for it is "long non-coding RNA (NTAB_LNC011379)". The record is from RNAcentral. Lineage: Eukaryota; Viridiplantae; Streptophyta; Magnoliopsida; Solanales; Solanaceae.